This 87-nucleotide microRNA precursor is filed under the name Mesocricetus auratus (golden hamster). RNAcentral's name for it is "miRNA (ENSMAUG00000005782.1)". The record is from RNAcentral. Lineage: Eukaryota; Metazoa; Chordata; Mammalia; Rodentia; Cricetidae.
CCCUGCGCCCCCUGCCGGCCGCGGGCCACACUGCAUGCGACACGGCCCCGCCCUCCCAGCCUCUGCACCUGCCACCGGUCCCCACGC